RNAcentral lists this ribosomal RNA (964 nucleotides) under Triticum aestivum (bread wheat). RNAcentral's name for it is "partial small subunit ribosomal RNA". The record is from RNAcentral. Lineage: Eukaryota; Viridiplantae; Streptophyta; Magnoliopsida; Poales; Poaceae.
CGCGCGAGAUAAAAAACCGCCGGAUGCGGUAUAAAGCCACACCCGGGUGAUGCGUCACUCUUCCCGUCUUUCUCUACCGACAAGCGUAAACCAGAAGAAGAGGGAGAGAGGACUUCUACUCGCGGCGCAGCGGCGGGUUGGGAGAGGGAGGAGGGAAGGGUCUAGACGCCGGGUUGUGCGGGGCGGAGGAGAGGGGGGACAACUACCUGUGACCUGGAAGGCAGCAGAAUGGGACAGGUUCUGGUUUGAGCAGAAGAGUAGACUUCGGCUAGAUCUAGAACGAAAGACUGGCCAAGGGUCCGCCCGCAGGGAGACGAAGGACAGGAACGUGAAACUGCCCAUGGGUCCACGCACAGGGACAAGAAAACGAGGCUGCCGGUCGACGGGUCUUCAAGGGGACGAAGGAGAAGCUAACCGUCGGUUUGCCGUGUAUUGACGCUCGUACCAUCGCACACUUCCAUGUUCUGCCAGAAACGUUCUGUAGUCCGAGACGAGGUCGAUAACUAUAGGUAAAAGUCGUGAACUUGGGCGAACCUAGUGCCGUUCUGUCUAUCUUCGUCCUACUUCUCGUUAUUGUACUAUACGUACAGCACCACCUUUUUAUACCCUUGUAUAAGAAUGCCCACCAGUACCAGACGACCAACUACCCGUGUUUGUUCAUUAACUCCGAGAGCGAGUUCCAGAAUUAGUCUCAACAUCUAUAACAUCUAUGAACCGGACUGGUUGAGUUCCAGAACUGUGGGGAGAAUUAGUCUCCACAUUUAUAAAACGGAAUGAUCUCAUCGUCUAUUAACAGGACUGGUUGUUGUGUACAUGUACGACUGAAUCCACAAGACGAUCGACAUGCUUUGUAAUCGAUACAAAUGAACUUAAGACCGAACUUUAACUGGUACUCAGACAUUAACUUGUUCUUAGACUACACAUGUAACUUAAAAUCGUCGUUAAAUAUUAAAACUUAAUACCG